CAGCCGCCGCGGUAAUACGAGGGGGGCAAGCGUUGUUCGGAAUUACUGGGCGUAAAGCGCACGUAGGCGGCUUUGUAAGUUAGAGGUGAAAGCCCGGAGCUCAACUCCGGAAUUGCCUUUAAGACUGCAGAGCUAGCAGGUGAGAGAGGUGAGUGGAAUUCCGAGUGUAGAGGUGAAAUUCGUAGAUAUUCGGAAGAACACCAGUGGCGAAGGCGGCUCACUGGCUCAUUCUAGACGCUGAGGUGCGAAAGCGUGGGGAGCAAACAGGAUUAGAUACCCCGGUAGUCCCUGUCUCUUAUAC
Molecule: ribosomal RNA, 301 nt
Filed under: uncultured bacterium
Lineage: Bacteria
Description: partial 16S ribosomal RNA
Rfam family: Bacterial small subunit ribosomal RNA
Source: RNAcentral